RNAcentral lists this small RNA (585 nucleotides) under Aspergillus huiyaniae. RNAcentral's name for it is "eukaryotic LSU rRNA". The stretch from base 220 to 373 matches the Rfam family "5.8S ribosomal RNA". The record is from RNAcentral. Lineage: Eukaryota; Fungi; Ascomycota; Eurotiomycetes; Eurotiales; Aspergillaceae.
UUUCCGUAGGUGAACCUGCGGAAGGAUCAUUACCGAGUGAGGGCCCUCUGGGUCCAACCUCCCACCCGUGUCUAUUGUACCUUGUUGCUUCGGCGGGCCCGCCGUUUCGACGGCCGCCGGGGAGGCCCUCGCGCCCCCGGGCCCGCGCCCGCCGAAGACCCCAACAUGAACACUGUUCUGAAAGUAUGCAGUCUGAGUUUGAUUAUCAUAAUCAGUUAAAACUUUCAACAACGGAUCUCUUGGUUCCGGCAUCGAUGAAGAACGCAGCGAAAUGCGAUAAGUAAUGUGAAUUGCAGAAUUCAGUGAAUCAUCGAGUCUUUGAACGCACAUUGCGCCCCCUGGUAUUCCGGGGGGCAUGCCUGUCCGAGCGUCAUUGCUGCCCUCAAGCACGGCUUGUGUGUUGGGCCCCCGUCCCCGGUUCUCCCCGGGGACGGGCCCGAAAGGCAGCGGCGGCACCGCGUCCGGUCCUCGAGCGUAUGGGGCUUUGUCACCCGCUCUGUAGGCACUGGCCGGCGCCAGCCGACACCCCCAACUUUAUUUUCUAAGGUUGACCUCGGAUCAGGUAGGGAUACCCGCUGAACUUAA